This 501-nucleotide ribosomal RNA is filed under the name uncultured Desulfobulbus sp. Its description in RNAcentral is "bacterial SSU rRNA". It matches the Rfam family "Bacterial small subunit ribosomal RNA", at positions 887 to 1382 of the family's 1533-position model. The record is from RNAcentral. Lineage: Bacteria; Pseudomonadati; Thermodesulfobacteriota; Desulfobulbia; Desulfobulbales; Desulfobulbaceae.
GCCCGCUCAGAAACUUAAAGGAAUUGACGGGGGCCCGCACAAGCGGUGGAGUAUGUGGUUUAAUUCGAUGCAACGCGAAGAACCUUACCUGGUCUUGACAUCCCGGAGACCCUUAGGAAACUAGGGGGUGCUUCCAUCUGGAAAAAUCUGGAGACAGGUGCUGCAUGGCUGUCGUCAGCUCGUGUCGUGAGAUGUUGGGUUAAGUCCCGCAACGAGCGCAACCCUUGCCUUUAGUUGCCAGCAGUUCGGCUGGGCACUCUAAAGGGACUGCCGGUGUUAAACCGGAGGAAGGUGGGGAUGACGUCAAGUCCUCAUGGCCUUUAUGACCAGGGCUACACACGUACUACAAUGGCCGAUACAAAGGGCAGCGACACUGCGAGGUGAAGCCAAUCCCGUAAAAUCGGUCUCAGUCCGGAUUGGAGUCUGCAACUCGACUCCAUGAAGUUGGAAUCGCUAGUAAUCGUGGAUCAGCAUGCCACGGUGAAUACGUUCCCGGGCCUU